GCUGGUAAUCAUUUCCUACAAUCUUCCACAAUGUCAUUUGGCCCUCCAGAUUUGUGUAAGGUUUCAUAAGAGGGGAAAUGCCCCCGAGGCCUUUUGCUUUCUUCUACAUUUCUAUUCUCAGCUUAUUCGUGCUUGUUGUGCCCCUUUGAUCUCCCCUCCCAAUUUCUCUUACCUUUCAAUUCCUUUAGACCUUUUCUACUCAGCAAUGGCGCCUCGUUCUUAAAAGAAGUUUGGAUGUCCAUUUGUUGAGUUUGUCAUAGUCGUGGACACAGUGUGUUGUCGUUCUGUAUCGUUGCCGAUGUUCCUAAGGACGGUGACCAACAGUGUGUUGUCGAUGCCACUCACCCACAUGCUCGUGUGGCCCUGGGGUCAUUUCAUAUCUUGAUCGGGCCGGCGAGGUGCAAGUGACAGCUUACCGUCUUCAUUGCUUCUCUGGCAAUUCGGUUAUGAUGGUAUGGGAUCAUAGUUCUUAAGGUCUUCGUGUAAGGAUGGAUUCUAGAGCUAUUAGAAUGAAUUAGCAUUCCCUAGGGUUGAGGUGUGUAGAUCUCUACACUUAUAUUAUGUUUGUUCACUGUUUGGCGGGAUGCAACUGUUUAUGGUUGCUAAUCCCCGCCCUCGUCAUGUUCUGGCCCCACCACCGAGCCAAGUGGUGGAGCAGGAGGGGGAGGGGACCAAUUCUCAAACCGAUGCCCCUCCGGUGAUUUGAGUUGCUGCCAAGGAGCAGUCGAUGCUGGGCAUUGAUCGCAAGGGUAAGCGCCUUGCUGAUGAAGGAGAAGGAGUAAGGGGAGAAGUCGUCAUGCUCCUCAGAAGAAGCGUAGGACUUCGAGGGUGCCCUGAUUUUUUUGGCCAUCAAUUCUGGGGCCAAUUGAUGAAUCAGAGUAUUUUUCUAACGUCUCGGUACCCGAGUAGAGGAACGACCAGUUGAAAAUGAUCCGCAAGAAUGUUUUGAGGAAGUUGUACAGGAUCCUACAGUUCCUCCUUCUGAGGUCGGGGGGGAGCAGAUACGGAAUCGGUGCAAUCAACCAUCUCGGUUCCUCCUACCAUAGUGGUUACUAUUCCCAUCGUCGGUGGGCAACUGAAAAAGAUGGCUCCCCGUCCUCGGUGGAAGGAGUCAAAAAGCUUUGGAUUGUCAUUUGUGUUAAAGUAGGUCGAUGUUAGUGAGGCUCGCCCGGAAGCUAAAAACCCACAAGUCCCUUCUGAGGGUGUUGUGGGUGAAAAGGAUUCUGUGAUGUGAACUUGGCGGAUGUCUCAAUGGCGCUUGUGAUUAGGUGCUUGGUGGAAGAUCAUAAGUCUUUGCAGCCCCUUAUCAAGGAGCAGAACUCAUCUGAGCGCCUGUCUCUUUACCCAGAGGAUGCGGGUGUUCAAGCAUGCGCUGACAAGGAUGUUGCUGCCUACGAGUUUGUGCCUGGCGAGCCUAGGUGAGAACAAGAAUCCUCUGUACCUAUGCAAGAACAUCCCCCCAAGGGUGUGAUGGGUGAGGCUGAGGCAGCUCAUAGGUUUGAACCCUCUACAUCGGAGCAGCCCCCCUUCUAGUCCAAUAAGCAAGUCAAGGCAUGAGCAGAGGCUCUCUGUUGCGGACUAUGGGAAGGAGCUUGAGAAGAUGGCUAUUGUUGUAGUGCCUGAGCAGCCUCGUGGGGAUUCGAUGUUGGGAUCUCAGCGCGAGGAAGAGCCCGAAUCCUGUGCAGAGGUGAUAGGUCCCAGUCAAAGAUAGAGUUGAAAGAGUAUUCUGCUUAGGGUGAGAAUGAAACCCACAAGAUUUUUAUUUAAUUUCCAACACCAUUUCAGCUGGUUGUUGGAGUU
Nelumbo nucifera (sacred lotus) is the source of this 1800-nucleotide long non-coding RNA. RefSeq lists it as uncharacterized. Lineage: Eukaryota; Viridiplantae; Streptophyta; Magnoliopsida; Proteales; Nelumbonaceae. The record is from RefSeq and is a predicted model, not a curated record.